GAAGAUUUAGUUAAUACAUAAUAUUAGUAUGUCAAUCUAAAGUAAUCUAUAAUGAUAAUCUUCU
Molecule: transfer RNA, 64 nt
Filed under: Eupolyphaga sp. NS-2016
Lineage: Eukaryota; Metazoa; Arthropoda; Insecta; Blattodea; Corydiidae
Description: tRNA-Asp
Source: RNAcentral